UACGUAGGGUGCAAGCGUUGUCCGGAUUUAUUGGGCGUAAAGAGCGUGUAGGCGGCCAGGUAGGUCCGUUGUGAAAACUCGAGGCUCAACCUCGAGACGUCGGCGGAAACCCUCUGGCUAGAGUCCGGAAGAGGAGAGUGGAAUUCCUGGUGUAGCGGUGAAAUGCGCAGAUAUCAGGAAGAACACCCGUGGCGAAGGCGGCUCUCUGGGACGGUACUGACGCUGAGACGCGAAAGCGUGGGGAGCAAACAGG
This 253-nucleotide ribosomal RNA is filed under the name uncultured bacterium. Its description in RNAcentral is "partial 16S ribosomal RNA". It matches the Rfam family "Bacterial small subunit ribosomal RNA", at positions 524 to 776 of the family's 1533-position model. The record is from RNAcentral.